RNAcentral lists this small RNA (378 nucleotides) under Drosophila yakuba. Its description in RNAcentral is "GE29136". The record is from RNAcentral. Lineage: Eukaryota; Metazoa; Arthropoda; Insecta; Diptera; Drosophilidae.
UUUAAAUGGCCAAUUUUUUAAGCCAGAUGGCAAAUGUGUAUUGUGUGUAAAUAAAAAUUUAAUUCGACGAAAAUUCAACUGGAAAUUUACACAAACAUCUUAAGAGGGUGCAUCCAAACAGCUACGCGUCAUAUUAGGCCAUGAAAUCAAAAGUGGCAAAAAAGGAAGAGAAUAAAUUAUCAGAGCCUAAGCAAGCAAAUUUCUUCUAUUUCCAAAGUUCAAGCAAGCUAAACAACAAAAUUUGCGACUAUAUUAUCGCUGAAAUACGUAUUCGAAACCUUAGUUAUGCUUAAAAAACCCAUUAAUUAAGUAAGUUAAUCAUACUAUAAAAGUUUUUGUAAGUUUAAAUAUGAACUGUUAUUUUAUUUUAAAAAAGUA